Molecule: ribosomal RNA, 308 nt
Filed under: Partula cf. taeniata
Lineage: Eukaryota; Metazoa; Mollusca; Gastropoda; Stylommatophora; Partulidae
Description: partial 16S ribosomal RNA
Source: RNAcentral
GGAAUAACUGUAUCCAUAAAACUAAAAAGAAAUUUCUUAAUAGGUGAAAAUUCCUUUAAUUAAUAUAAUAGACGAGAAGACCCUAAGAAUUAUAUAUUAAAAUUGUAAAUUUACAAUAAAUUUUUGUUGGGGCAACAGAUUUGGUAAAAUCAAUAAUCUUCAAAAUUUACAUACUAAGUAUAUUUAAUAGGAAUUUAAUUACCUUAGGGAUAACAGCAUUAUUAAUAUAUUAGAUUGUGACCUCGAUGUUGGACUAGGGACUUUUAAAGUAAGCCAUUUUGAAAGAUUGUUCUGUUCGAACAUAGAAC